GGUCNAGUAAUGUCUAGGGAACUGCCUGAUGGAGGGGGAUAACUACUGGAAACGGUAGCUAAUACCGCAUAACGUCGCAAGACCAAAGAGGGGGACCUUCGGGCCUCUUGCCAUCAGAUGUGCCCAGAUGGGAUUAGCUAGUAGGUGGGGUAANGGCUCACCUAGGCGACGAUCCCUAGCUGGUCUGAGAGGAUGACCAGCCACACUGGAACUGAGACACGGUCCAGACUCCUACGGGAGGCAGCAGUGGGGGAAUAUUGCACAAUGGGCGCAAGCCUGAUGCAGCCAUGCCGCGUGUAUGAAGAAGGCCUUCGGGUUGUAAAGUACUUUCAGCGGGGAAGGAAGGUGUUGUGGUUAAUAACCUCNGCAAUUGACGUUACCCCGCAANAAGAAGCACCGGCUAACUCCGUGCCAGCAGCCGCGGUAAUACGGAAGGGUGCAAGCGUUAGCGCCGGUUAUCGGGAUUACUGGGCGUAAGCGCACGCAGGCGGUCUGUCAAGUCGGAUGUGAAAUCCCCGGGCUCAACCUGGGAACUGCAUUCGAAACUGGCAGGCUAGAGUCUUGUAGAGGGGGGUAGAAUUCCAGGUGUAGCGGUGAAAUGCGUAGAGAUCUGGAGGAAUACCGGUGGCGAAGGCGGCCCCCUGGACAAAGACUGACGCUCAGGUGCGAAAGCGUGGGGAGCAAACAGGAUUAGAUACCCUGGUAGUCCACGCCGUAAACGAUGUCGACUUGGAGGUUGUGCCCUUGAGGCGUGGCUUCCGGAGCUAACGCGUUAAGUCGACCGCCUGGGGAGUACGGCCGCAAGGUUAAAACUCAAAUGAAUUGACGGGGGCCCGCACAAGCGGUGGAGCAUGUGGUUUAAUUCGAUGCAACGCGAAGAACCUUACCUACUCUUGACAUCCAGAGAACUUUCCAGAGAUGCUUU
Molecule: ribosomal RNA, 925 nt
Filed under: Enterobacter cloacae
Lineage: Bacteria; Pseudomonadati; Pseudomonadota; Gammaproteobacteria; Enterobacterales; Enterobacteriaceae
Description: bacterial SSU rRNA
Rfam family: Bacterial small subunit ribosomal RNA
Source: RNAcentral